CCCUUAGAUGUCCUGGGCCGCACGCGCGUUACACUGAUGCAUUCAACGAGCUUAUAACCUUGGCCGAGAGGCCUGGGCAAUCUUGUUAACGUGCAUCGUGAUAGGGAUAGAUUAUUGAAAUUAUUAAUCUUGAACGAGGAAUUCCUAGUAAACGCAGAUCAUCAAUCUGCAUUGAUUACGUCCCUGCCCUUUGUACACACCGCCCGUCGCUCCUACCGAUUGAGUGGUCCGGUGAGGCUUUGGGAUCUGAGCGGAAAGAGCGUUUCGCUGUUUCUGCCCGGAAAACUCAGUCGAACCUUAUCAUUUAGAGGAAGGAGAAGUCGUAACA
RNAcentral lists this ribosomal RNA (328 nucleotides) under uncultured eukaryote. Its description in RNAcentral is "partial 18S ribosomal RNA". It matches the Rfam family "Eukaryotic small subunit ribosomal RNA", at positions 1470 to 1796 of the family's 1831-position model. The record is from RNAcentral.